UGGGCUCUGCGAAGCGGAUCGGCACUUCCCUAUGCUGAUGAUGUCAUCAGGAAACCUCACCACUCUUCUCUCCACCGUAGCUCCUCCUGGUGCGGCACUAGUCCGGGCACAUCCGGUUGCGUACAUUCAACCGCAGAAGAAGAAGAACUACUCUCGUUGUAGCUGCUGAGAUGCAGAGCAUCCACCGUGCCAGAGGGGGAGCUGUGUAUCUGAGAGCUGGCCUAUCUAUUACGUCACUUCCAGGUACCUGGCCAAUCACAGGACAGUGGGAAAGCUCUCGUUGGCUGGCCAAUCACAACACAGUCCACAUUCUGGGGGUGUGGUUUUGGUCUGAAACAGCGCGGCUGACGAGAGCUUCAGUGAGGAGAUAUUUUGAUCGGCUCGUUUGCAGCGACUGGGAGGUUUUUAACCAUGAAAACAAGUUAAUAUAUGUCUGUUUGUGUCGGCUGCUUUUUGGACUGGGUCUAAAAAAAAUCCCUGGAUUGAUUUGGUCCAAGUCAAACCACUUUUGGAUCAGUCCUCCUCCCCCCACCAAAAGGCUGAGUCCUCAGUAAAUCACGGCUGACUCUACAUGUGAUGAGUGUUUGGAAAUCCUCGUGGGAUGAGUGCCGUCUGCAUCACCCAUCACAGCGCAGAUCACAAAACAAUAACAGGGCUCAUUUCCCUCCUCCUGUCCCAGAGGAGCGGCCUCCGGGGUCAGAGAGGGGCGUGUCAACCCUGGUCAAGCCCCUGCAGACGGAGGAGGCAUACAUGACGACGAUGACGACGUCUGUUUGGAAUGUAAGACCCUGGCUUUAUCUCUUACCGUCAUAGUGUCAAUCUUCCCUUUGACCUGCUCGUUCCUUGCCAAGGCUCUCUCCAAACAUUCCUUGGUGUACAGCUGAGGGUUUCGACCUUGGUCAAUGUAUCUGUGAAAAGAAGACACAGCAGCUGAAGGCAUGAAGCACAGAUAAGGCACUGGUACCGUUUGAACGGCCUCAGCAAAGGAAAGAAAUGACUCACAGUUUCUGGUUGAGUCCUGUCUGGCUGCUGGG
This is a long non-coding RNA of Solea solea (common sole), 1034 nucleotides long. RefSeq lists it as uncharacterized. The record is from RefSeq and is a predicted model, not a curated record. NCBI's taxonomy places the organism in Eukaryota, Metazoa, Chordata, Actinopteri, Pleuronectiformes, Soleidae. The transcript has 5 exons.